RNAcentral lists this long non-coding RNA (248 nucleotides) under Physcomitrium patens. RNAcentral's name for it is "long non-coding RNA (PPAT_LNC005745)". Lineage: Eukaryota; Viridiplantae; Streptophyta; Bryopsida; Funariales; Funariaceae. The record is from RNAcentral.
CCUCUCCGGGUAUCAACAUCUAUUUUUUUUUUUUUAAAUAAUUUUUACUAUAAUUUACUCUUAACUUCCUUCUAAAGAUGUCUAUAUUAUUUAUUUUUCCAAUCUACCUUAUUUUGCCUUAUUUUUGGCCCUACAAAGUAAGUAGAAGCUAUUUUUUCUAAAAAGGCAACAUUACUACUGAAAGUUUUAUUACUUUCCUAUCUUUUAUCCAUAUUUUUCUACCUUUUCUUUUAACUUGGCUCUUCUAU